CCUGAUUGAUUCUGUCAGCGCGAUAUGCUCAAGUAAAAGAUUAAGCCAUGCAUGCUUUGAUUCAUAAAUGAAAUUGCGUACGGCUCAUUAGAGCAGAUAUCACCUUUCUCGGAAUCCUGAAAAGGAUAACUGCGGAAAUUCUGGAGCUAAUACAUGCGACUAUACUCCAACGCAAGGCGGGGUGCAAUUAUUAGAACAGACCAAACGUUUUCGGACGUUGUUUGUUGACUCUGAAUACCGUCGUUUACUGUCAGUUUCGACUGACUCUAUCCGAGAAGGGUGUCUGCCCUUUCAACUAGAUGGUAAUCUAUUGGACUACCAUGGUUGUUACGGGUAACGGAGAAUUAGGGUUCGACUCCGGAGAGGGAGCCUUAGAAACGGCUACCACGUCCAAGGAAGGCAGCAGGCGCGAAACUUAUCCACUGUUGAGUAUGAGAUAGUGACUAAAAAUAUAAAGACUCAUCCUUUUGGAUGAGUUAUUUCAAUGAGUUGAAUAUAAAUUAUUCUUCGAGUAGCAAGGAGAGGGCAAGUCUGGUGCCAGCAGCCGCGGUAAUUCCAGCUCUCCUAGUGUAUCUCGUUAUUGCUGCGGUUAAAAAGCUCGUAGUUGGAUCUAGGUUACGUGCCGCAGUUCGCAAUUUGCGUUAACUGUGGUCGUGACUUCUAAUUUGCUGGAUUGAGGUUGGGUUCGCCCUUCAACUGCCAGCAGGUUUACCUUGAAUAAAUCAGAGUGCUCAAUACAGGCGCUUGCUUGAAUAGCUCAUCAUGGAAUAAUGAAACAGGACUUCGGUUCUUUUUGUUGGUUCUAGAAUUGAUCUAAUGGUUAAGAGGGACAAACCGGGGGCAUUCGUAUCAUUACGCGAGAGGUGAAAUUCGUGGACCGUAGUGAGACGCCCAAUAGCGAAAGCAUUUGCCAAGAAUGUCUUCAUUAAUCAAGAACGAAAGUCAGAGGUUCGAAGGCGAUUAGAUACCGCCCUAGUUCUGACCGUAAACGAUGCCAUCUCGCGAUUCGGAGGGUUCAUGCCCUACCGAGGAGCUACCCGGAAACGAAAGUCUUUCGGUUCCGGGGGUAGUAUGGUUGCAAAGCUGAAACUUAAAGAAAUUGACGGAAGGGCACCACAAGGCGUGGAGCUUGCGGCUUAAUUUGACUCAACACGGGAAAACUCACCCGGUCCGGACACUAUUAGGACUGACAGAUUGAAAGCUCUUUCUCGAUUUGGUGGUUGGUGGUGCAUGGCCGUUCUUAGU
Molecule: ribosomal RNA, 1245 nt
Filed under: Caenorhabditis japonica
Lineage: Eukaryota; Metazoa; Nematoda; Chromadorea; Rhabditida; Rhabditidae
Description: SSU rRNA
Rfam family: Eukaryotic small subunit ribosomal RNA
Source: RNAcentral